AGAAGGGCGAAAAAAAAUAUCAAAUAAAGCGAGCCGCUGCUUCCAAAAUGAAUCCCUGGACGGAGGAGCUCUCCCUCGGGAAUGAGUGAGACUUGGCAGGUUUAUUGGGUUUAUUUUAUUUCGGGGGCGCGGGGGGGGUUAUUCCUUGAAGUGUAAAUUUAAGGCAUUGCCGUGCUCGGCGGUGCGGAGAAACCCCCGGCGGACCGAAAAUCUCGUAGGUUUGGUGGAGUGGGUUUGUUGGGGGGGUUUCUUUCUUUUUUUUUCUUUCUUUCUUUUUUUUUUUUUUUUUUUUUUUUUUAAGUCUUUAGUAAAUGUGCAAAUAAAGAGCCGGGGAAGGAGGAGGAGGAGGCGGCUCGGGUUAGUUUAGUCUUUGUGCUUUCUCGUUUCUCUCGCCCGCUCGUUUCUGGCCACUCUCCGGCGUGUGACUGUGUCCGGCUGGCUGCCGCUAAACUGUAGUUCCUCUGAAAAUCAGAGAGACGGAUUCCCCGGUCCGGAACAAUGUCAGUCAGUGGACUUCCAGACCACGCUUCGCCUUCGCUUAAUCCAGCCACUGGCUCAAUGUUAUUGCUCUGCUUAGGAGGGUCAGUCACAGAACACAUGUGCAACAGUAACACACCAAUCUCAUGGAGAAUAAACAGGGGUAUUUUACAUGACAGCUUGGCUGGGAUUUUCAAAGUGGCUGUGGGAAUAUGAAAUCCGUGGUGCUGCUCCGGAAGCUAUCAAGGCAGCUGGAUGAGUUCUCUCUCUUACAAGAUUUUGUAGAACUCAGUGACUGAUCUUUCAAAACAAAGUUGUUUUUUUUUCAUUUUAACUUGAGAAGUUUAAGAUUCACUUUUUGCCAAACAGCAUCUCGUUCGGUCUGUGGUUUGAUCUCCCUUUCGGGGUGAGAGGCAGCUGGCUGCGGGGCUGCACUGCGAGUCCCGCUCGCUCAAUCCGCAGCAAAUGCUGCCCCUGGUGUUUCACAGCAGGAAAUACCCCAAAAUCGUCCCUCGGCUUUCCAUGUUUUGUCCAGAAGACCUUGGUGAAAUGCCACCAUCCCUGGACACCACCAUCAGUUUUGGAUAGGUUGGUUGUCAAUUUUCUUAAAAGCAAACUGUUCUUAACAUGAUCAUAACAUCCCUUGUGCUUUGUGUUACUAAACAUGCACAGGAUAAAACAUUUAAUGUAACAGGACCUGAACAAUUAAUUACUUUUUUCCCCUUCUGUUGACACUGAUUUGUGACCUUUUUACAUGAUACUGUAAUCUCACAUGAGCUGUCAUGCUUGAGCAUUUUUUCUGUGUGAAUUCCCUACUGUUGUUGAAGCUCUGAGUUUCCCAAGCUGGCAGCCCCUUCCAGAUCAGCAAAGCACUUAUUUGUGCUGGGUUCACAGCCAGACAUCCCAUUGUGGUAAUACCUUUACAAAAAUGGAACAAAAAGACUGAGCUGAACCUAUGUCACCUAAAAUCUCAAGUGCAUACCUUGUUC
This 1466-nucleotide long non-coding RNA is filed under the name Manacus vitellinus (golden-collared manakin). RNAcentral describes it as "lncRNA (ENSMVIG00005012698.1)". The record is from RNAcentral. Lineage: Eukaryota; Metazoa; Chordata; Aves; Passeriformes; Pipridae.